GGGUGCGAUCAUACCAACAAUAAUGCACCGGAUCCCAUCAGAACUCCGCAGUUAAGCGUGCUUGGGCGAGAGUAGUACUAGGAUGGGUGACCUCCUGGGAAGUCCUCGUGUUGCACCUC
Molecule: ribosomal RNA, 119 nt
Filed under: Gossypium raimondii (Peruvian cotton)
Lineage: Eukaryota; Viridiplantae; Streptophyta; Magnoliopsida; Malvales; Malvaceae
Source: RNAcentral